This 200-nucleotide ribosomal RNA is filed under the name uncultured bacterium. RNAcentral's name for it is "partial 16S ribosomal RNA". It matches the Rfam family "Bacterial small subunit ribosomal RNA", at positions 8 to 199 of the family's 1533-position model. The record is from RNAcentral.
AGAGUUUGAUCCUGGCUCAGAACGAACGCUGGCGGCGUGGAUAAGACAUGCAAGUCGAGCGCUAAUUCCAGGGUAGCAAUAUUCUGAAGUUGGAGCGGCGCAAGGGUGCGUAACACGUGGGUAAUCUGCCAUGAAGUUCGGGAUAACUUGCUGAAAGGCGAGCUAAUACCGGAUGUGACAACCGAGAGGCAUCUUUUGGU